RNAcentral lists this ribosomal RNA (245 nucleotides) under uncultured bacterium. RNAcentral's name for it is "partial small subunit ribosomal RNA". It matches the Rfam family "Bacterial small subunit ribosomal RNA", at positions 26 to 285 of the family's 1533-position model. The record is from RNAcentral.
AGAAUCAACGCUGGCGGCGUGCCUAACACAUGCAAGUCGCACGAGAAAGGGACUUCGGUCCUGAGUACAGUGGCGCACGGGUGAGUAACACGUGAAUAAUCUACCUCCGAGUGGGGAAUAACUGAGAGAAAUCUUAGCUAAUACCGCAUAACACUUACGAGUCAAAGCAGCAAUGCGCUUGGAGAGGAGUUCGCGGCCGAUUAGCUAGUUGGCGGGGUAAUGGCCCACCAAGGCAAUGAUCGGUA